This 1083-nucleotide ribosomal RNA is filed under the name Aerococcus sp. 307B4_12EGalle. Its description in RNAcentral is "bacterial SSU rRNA". It matches the Rfam family "Bacterial small subunit ribosomal RNA", at positions 56 to 1113 of the family's 1533-position model. The record is from RNAcentral. Lineage: Bacteria; Bacillati; Bacillota; Bacilli; Lactobacillales; Aerococcaceae.
UGCAAGUCGAGCGAACAGAUGAAGUGCUUGCACUUCUGACGUUAGCGGCGAACGGGUGAGUAACACGUAAGGAAUCUACCUAUAAGCGGGGGAUAACAUUCGGAAACGGGUGCUAAUACCGCAUAAUAUCUUCUUCCGCAUGGAAGAAGAUUGAAAGACGGCUCUGCUGUCACUUAUAGAUGACCUUGCGGUGCAUUAGUUAGUUGGUGGGGUAACGGCCUACCAAGACGAUGAUGCAUAGCCGACCUGAGAGGGUGAUCGGCCACAUUGGGACUGAGACACGGCCCAAACUCCUACGGGAGGCAGCAGUAGGGAAUCUUCCGCAAUGGGCGAAAGCCUGACGGAGCAAUGCCGCGUGAGUGAAGAAGGCCUUCGGGUCGUAAAACUCUGUUAUAAGAGAAGAACAAAUUGUAGAGUAACUGCUACAGUCUUGACGGUAUCUUAUCAGAAAGCCACGGCUAACUACGUGCCAGCAGCCGCGGUAAUACGUAGGUGGCAAGCGUUGUCCGGAUUUAUUGGGCGUAAAGGGAGCGCAGGUGGUUUCUUAAGUCUGAUGUGAAAGCCCACGGCUUAACCGUGGAGGGUCAUUGGAAACUGGGAAACUUGAGUACAGAAGAGGAAUGUGGAACUCCAUGUGUAGCGGUGGAAUGCGUAGAUAUAUGGAAGAACACCAGUGGCGAAGGCGACAUUCUGGUCUGUUACUGACACUGAGGCUCGAAAGCGUGGGGAGCAAACAGGAUUAGAUACCCUGGUAGUCCACGCCGUAAACGAUGAGUGCUAGGUGUUGGGAGGGUUUCCGCCCUUCAGUGCCGCAGUUAACGCAUUAAGCACUCCGCCUGGGGAGUACGACCGCAAGGUUGAAACUCAAAGGAAUUGAACGGGGACCCGCACAAGCGGUGGAGCCAUGGUGGUUUAAUUCGAAGCAACGCGAAGAACCUUUACCAAGUCUUUGACAUCCUUUUGACCACCCUAGAAGAUAGGGCUUUCCCUUCGGGGACAAAGUGACAGGUGGUGCAUGUGUCGUCAGCUCGUGUCGUGAGAAUGUUGGGUUAAGUCCCGCAACGAGCGCAACCCCUAUUAUUA